CUCUGGACCAAAAGUAGUGUUAGCAUGGGAAGUGCUGGGCAUGUGUGUCGUGGAUUUAUCCCUGGUUGCGGCUUUCGGUGCCGCGCCGAGCAAUCGCACUGGCGUAAAUGCCCCUGACUAUCUUUUCGUUCAUUAGUAAUUCUGAGCUCAGUUACGAAAAAUACGGCUGUUUUGUUCUGUCUUCUCCCGUUGAACUCAGCAGGCUCAAAUUGCUUUGCAACCACAAAUGCCGCCCGCUAAAGUGUAAUGGCGUGGUCAAUUGGGAAGCAAAAUCUGCCACUACCCCACUGAAAGAUGCAACAAAAAAACGGGAUAGUAAGACGAUCGACACCACUAAGAACGCCCCCAAACCACU
This 355-nucleotide small RNA is filed under the name Histoplasma capsulatum. Its description in RNAcentral is "hypothetical RNA". The record is from RNAcentral. Lineage: Eukaryota; Fungi; Ascomycota; Eurotiomycetes; Onygenales; Ajellomycetaceae. RNAcentral also lists the same sequence under 1 other name.